Molecule: transfer RNA, 68 nt
Filed under: Marmota monax (woodchuck)
Lineage: Eukaryota; Metazoa; Chordata; Mammalia; Rodentia; Sciuridae
Description: tRNA.Pro
Source: RNAcentral
GGAUUGUGGCUCAGUGGAAGAGCCCUUUUCUAGGAUGGGUGAGGCCCUGGGUUCGAUCCUCAGCACCA